RNAcentral lists this ribosomal RNA (980 nucleotides) under Isoetes andina. Its description in RNAcentral is "eukaryotic LSU rRNA". It matches the Rfam family "Eukaryotic large subunit ribosomal RNA", at positions 98 to 1078 of the family's 3401-position model. Lineage: Eukaryota; Viridiplantae; Streptophyta; Lycopodiopsida; Isoetales; Isoetaceae. The record is from RNAcentral.
UUGGAAGGUGCCCAGAUUGAGAAUCGUGGCGUUUUGCGCUGCGAAUUGUAGUCUGUAGAAGCGUCCUCUGCGGCGGACCGGGUCGAGGUUCCCUGGAAGUGGACGCCUGAGAGGGUGAGAGCCCCGUCAGGCCCGGACCCUGUUGCUCCACGAGGCGCUCUCCACGAGUCGGGCUGUUUGGGAAUGCAGCCUUAAGUGGGUGGUAAAUUCCAUCCAAGGCUAAAUAUUGGCAAGAGACCGAUAGCGAACAAGUACCGCGAGGGAAAGGUGAAAAGGACUUUGAAAAGAGAGUUAAAAAGUGCUUGAAAUUGCUGGGAGGGAAGCGAAUGGAGGUUGCUGGUGCGCUCCGGUUGGGUGCGGAACGGCCUCGGCUGGUCUGCCCGGUCAACUCGGGGUGCCGGCCAACGUUGGCUCCGUCUGCGGGAUAAAGAGGGACCAUGUCGACCCGACGAUGCCGUAGGCGGGGCUUGGGCCUGGGGCGCACGCCACCUUGGCGGGCUACCAUGCACCUGUGCGCUCCGGACGUUGGCUUGUGGGGCUUUCCAUUCGACCCGUCUUGAAACACGGACCAAGGAGUCUAACAUGCGUGCGAGUUGGUGGGUUCAAAACCCGUCUUGGCGAAAGGAAACUGAUGCGUGGGAGCCCUGUUGUCGGGUGCACCAUGCGCCGACCAUGAUCUUCUGUGAAAGGUUUGAGUGUGAGCAUGCCUGUUGGGACCCGAAAGAUGGUGAACUAUGCCUGAGCAGGGCGAAGCCAGAGGAAACUCUGGUGGAGGCUCGUAGCGAUACUGACGUGCAAAUCGUUCGUCAGACUUGGGUAUAGGGGCGAAAGACUAAUCGAACCAUCUAGUAGCUGGUUCCCUCCGAAGUUUCCCUCAGGAUAGCUGGAGCUCGUUCAAAGUUUUAUCGGGUAAAGCGAAUGAUUAGAGGCAUCGGGGGAGAAACUCCCUCGACCUAUUCUCAAACUUUAAAUAGGUAAGG